AUUGAACGCUGGCGGCAUGCCUUACACAUGCAAGUCGAACGGCAGCACGGGAGCAAUCCUGGUGGCGAGUGGCGAACGGGUGAGUAAUAUAUCGGAACGUGCCCAGUCGUGGGGGAUAACGUAGCGAAAGCUACGCUAAUACCGCAUACGAUCUAUGGAUGAAAGCGGGGGAUCGCAAGACCUCGCGCGAUUGGAGCGGCCGAUAUCAGAUUAGGUAGUUGGUGAGGUAAAGGCUCACCAAGCCGACGAUCUGUAGCUGGUCUGAGAGGACGACCAGCCACACUGGGACUGAGACACGGCCCAGACUCCUACGGGAGGCAGCAGUGGGGAAUUUUGGUACGAAUAGGNGGC
RNAcentral lists this ribosomal RNA (351 nucleotides) under uncultured bacterium. RNAcentral describes it as "bacterial SSU rRNA". It matches the Rfam family "Bacterial small subunit ribosomal RNA", at positions 30 to 379 of the family's 1533-position model. The record is from RNAcentral.